GAACUGCAGAUAAAUACAGAAAUUAUGAAACAUCUGCUUUUAAGAAGUCAUCUGUUUGCAGGUCCUCGAUGAAGAGAUUUGACCAAGUAAGGAGUUCUGUGUGUCAGACAAAGACUUGCCAACGUUUGUGGUGAAAUAAUCUGCUCUGUUUGGAGACUGCAGGAAAAAUCCUUUCUGUACAGCUGAAACGUUGCCUGCUGUUUGGUGUUCCACCUCAGCCCAUGUGCAAGCAGAAGGGCCAGCAGUGCAGGGCUGUGGCCUGCAGGACUGAUGGGGGUCUGGCAGUGAGGUGGCCCACGGCACUGUGGUGUGGGUUGAGCUGUCCUGGUGGAGUGCCAUCCUGUGCAUGGUUCUGUGCAGCCAUACCCCCAUGUUUGGCACCUGGGAUUUUUACCGUCUGGUGCAGAAGAUGGAAAAUUCCCUUUAACCAGUUAGGCAGGAUUUCCAGAGGAAAAACUGUAUUUGCUAAAGUCAAGCUGUGAAACAGCUGAUGGAUCACACCCCAGUGAUAUGCCUGAAAAUCAUCCUGUGGAACACUUGAUGUUUAAUGCCUAUCCUGUUCACUGAGUAGCUUUCCUUGAGAAUGAAGGCUCUGUGCAGAAAGCAAGCUCGUCCUGCCUGCACCCAUGGCAGUGGACAUCUUGGUCAAUAGUGCAGCUGCUUCUUCUGAAUGCAGCCCAUGAUAUGAAGCAAUAAGUGAUAAGAGGCUUGGCUGAAAGAACAACUGUGAGCUGUUCAAAACAUGCAUAAGAGUACAUCAGUCUCUGUGAUGUCCUAUAUACUUGUUUUUUCCUUUAAAGGACUUUUUGAUCUGUAAGUAGUUGUUUUGCUUGUGUCAAGUGAGCUUAAGAAAAUGUUUGUAUCUGAAAGGAGUGAGCUCAGCCUAGAAGGC
RNAcentral lists this long non-coding RNA (892 nucleotides) under Phasianus colchicus (ring-necked pheasant). RNAcentral's name for it is "lncRNA (ENSPCLG00000005795.1)". The record is from RNAcentral. Lineage: Eukaryota; Metazoa; Chordata; Aves; Galliformes; Phasianidae.